UCCAUGGAGGAUUAGUGGUUAAGCCUUGGUGCUCUUGACGCCACAGCCCGGGUUUGAUUCCCGGCUAGGGAG
Pangasianodon gigas (Mekong giant catfish) is the source of this 72-nucleotide non-coding RNA. The record is from the annotation of a GenBank genome assembly. NCBI's taxonomy places the organism in Eukaryota, Metazoa, Chordata, Actinopteri, Siluriformes, Pangasiidae.